RNAcentral lists this ribosomal RNA (253 nucleotides) under uncultured bacterium. RNAcentral describes it as "partial 16S ribosomal RNA". It matches the Rfam family "Bacterial small subunit ribosomal RNA", at positions 524 to 776 of the family's 1533-position model. The record is from RNAcentral.
GACGAACCGUGCGAACGUUGUUCGGAAUCACUGGGCUUAAAGGGCGCGUAGGUGGUUUGCCAAGUCGGGGUUGAAAUCUUUCGGCUUAACCGGAAAAGUGGCUUCGAUACUGGCAAGCUGGAGGGAGGUAGGGGCGGAUGGAACUUCCGGUGGAGCGGUGAAAUGCGUUGAGAUCGGAAGGAACGCCCGUGGCGAAAGCGAGUCCCUGGACGUCGGCUGACGCUGAGACGCGAAAGCCAGGGGAGCGAACGGG